AGGGAAGGUUUGAAUGAGAUGUAUGAUGACGUCAGAAAACAACUUGAGUCGGAAAAGAAAUUAAGAAAGGUGCGUGUGAUUGGCAUCCUAUUAACACGUAAACAUCUCACAUCUUGUAACAAGUUUGUCAACAAGUUGUCUUCGCACUGCUUGUUACAAGUUGUCAACAGUUUUGGAACAAUUUGUUGACAACUUGUAACCACCUUGCCGAAAUUGUCAGAUUUGUUACAAGGUUGUUCUGACAAGUCCGUUACAUGCUUGAUGCGACAAAUUGUUACAACCUUGUGUUGACAACCUUGUAACAUGCUUGUUUUUAUAUCACGGCUGUAAAAACUUAUAACAAGUCUGAUAAUGCUAUCAAGCUUGUUACAAGUUCUUAACAGCUUGUUACAAAUUUGUUGCAACAACUGGGAACAAGCAGUGCGAACAAAACUUGUUGACAGCUUGUGCACAGAUUUGUAACAACUUGUUUCCAGACUUGUUACAAGCUGCGCGUUUUUAUGCGUGUAGUACUACAUGUAAAAACGCACAAGUUGUUACAAACCUGUUCACAAGCUGUCGACAAGUUUUGUUCGCACUGCUUGUUCCCAGUUGUUGUGACAAGUUUGGAACAAGCUGUUGACAACUUGUAACGAGCUUGAUAGUUGAUGGCAUUAUCAAACUUGUUACAAGGUUGCUCUAACAAGUCUGAUACAGUCAUGAUAUAACAAGAAUGUUACAAGGUUGACGACACAAGGUUGUAACAAUAUUGUUAUAUCAUGACUGUAUCGGACUUGUUGGAACAACCUUGCAACAAGUCUGAUGAUAUCAACAAGGUUGUCACAAGUUGUUAACAGCUUGUUCCAAACUUGUUGACAACUUGGGACAAGCAGUGUGAAGACAACUUGUUGGCGGCUUGUUGGCAGACUUGCUACAAGAUGUGAGAUUUUUACGUGUAAUACGUUGCUGCUAAUAUAUGAAGGUGUACAUGCAAUCUCGUACCCAGAGCCAUCGUUGAAAUGUCACUUGGAUGAGCAUUAGAGGGCCCUGAAGGGGUAAAAUGGGAACUGGGAUUGAUCUAUUUUUAGACUGGGAAAAUGGGAUUUGGGUUGCUGGGACUGGGAUUUGGCCACUGGGAAUGGGAAAUGAAGUUCUCAAAAAUGGGAAUGGGAUUGAGGUAAUGAGAGUCGAUUCCCAAUUUUUCUGUGUUUUGAGUAUUUUAAAAUACAAUUUUGAUCCGUUUUUGGUGUCUUUGGUCAUGAUUUUUGUUGUUAACUAUAUUAUUCACAGCACUACCUGCGAACAGGCAUACUCUGGCGCCCGGAAUUCUGGGUUUUCUGAUUAUGCGUGUCUCAGAAUGCUGCAAAUGCCAUUUCCGGGAUUCAAAUUUAAAAAUUUUCCGUGCCUUCGGCACUAGCACCCCCCCUAAUAUUUCAUAAAGUGUCCGCCACAUGCUUAAAAGGUCUUAAAACUGUUUAUUCUACCGAUAAAUAAAGGGUUUUUUAUUGACUGGGAUUUCAAUAACUGGGAUUGGGAUUUCUAAUAAAAAUCCAACUGGGACUGGGAUUUUGCCAAAAUUUCAGGUGGGAAAUGGGAUUGGGACCCCCCCCCUUCAGGACCCUCGCAUUAGUACUUCAGCGCAUUGAACGCUAUUCGUGAUUCCUAUUGUGUUUUUCCAGGAAACCGAAAGUGAAUUGCAGCUUAUCAAGAAUAUGAAAAAUGAAAGUCAGGUAACACAUUUAGUUGCACAUUAUAUACAAUUGAUUAGCAUUCCGUAAUUUUAUCGGAACAAUCGGAAGUUAUGAAUAAAGUUUUUUGGCAGGAAAUGUCGAAGCACACAUAAAAGAUCAUUUAAAGGGAAAAAAGCCUUAAAAUGUUACUGCUAUAUGAACAUAAAAUCACAUUUUAGACAGAAAAAA
Paramuricea clavata is the source of this 1898-nucleotide non-coding RNA. NCBI's taxonomy places the organism in Eukaryota, Metazoa, Cnidaria, Anthozoa, Malacalcyonacea, Plexauridae. The record is from the annotation of a GenBank genome assembly.